UGAAUACGAGAUGCUACGGCGUCGAAGCAGUGUAUGUCAGACUUCCAAGAAAAGCUCGCAAUGUCAUAAAUAAAGAAUGCCUGUACCAUAACCGACACAGGUGGGUAGGUAGAGUAUACUAAGGGGCGCGAGAUAACUCUCUCUAAGGAACUCGGCAAAAUAACUCCGUAACUUCGGGAGAAGGAGUGCCUUCUAUUAGAAGGUUGCAAUAACAAGAUCCAAGCAACUGUUUAUCAAAAACACAGGUCUCCGCUAAGUCGUAAGACGAUGUAUGGGGGCUGACGCCUGCCCAGUGCCAGAAGGUUAAAGAAGUUGGUUAGCUUUGGCGAAGCUGAUGACUGAAGCCCUGGUGAACGGCGGCCGUAACAAUAACGGUCCUAAGGUAGCGAAAUUCCUUGUCGGGUAAGUUCCGACCCGCACGAAAGGCGUAAUGAUUUGGAUACUGUCUCGGAGAGGGACUCGGUGAAAUAGACUUGUCUGUGAAGAUGCGGACUACCUGCACCAGGACAGAAAGACCCUAUGAAGCUUUACUGUAACUUGAAAUUGAAAUUGGACUUUAUUUGCGCAGCAUAGGUGGAAGGCGUUGAGAUUACUCUUGCGGGAGUACUGGAGCCAUCAGUGAGAUACCACUCCUAUAAUGUUAGAUUUCUAACUUUGGAUCAUGAUCUGGUCAAAGAACAGUUUCAGGCGGGCAGUUUGUCUGGGGCGGUCGCCUCCCAAAUGGUAACGGAGGCGUACAAAGGUUUCCUCUGAACGGGUAGAAAUCGUAUCUAGAGUGUAAAGGCAUAAGGAAGCUUGACUGUGAGACCUACAAGUCGAGCAGGGACGAAAGUCGGUCUUAGUGAUCUGACGGUGCUGAGUGGAAAGGCCGUCACUCAACGGAUAAAAGUUACUCUAGGAUAACAGGCUGAUCUCCCCCAAGAGUUCACAUCGACGGGGAGGUUUGGCACCUUGAUGUCGGCUCAUCGCAUCCUGGGGCGGUAGUACGUCCCAAGGGUUGGGCUGUUCGCCCAUGAAAGCGGUACGCGAGCUGGGUUCAGAACGUCGUGAGACAGUUCGGUCCAUAUCCGGUGUAGGCGUUAGAAUAUUGAGAGGAGCCUUCUUUAGUACGAGAGGACCGAGAAGGACAUACCUCUGGUGUACCAGUUAUCGUGCCAACGGUAAACGCUGGGUAGCUAUGUAUGGAGAGGAUAACCGCUGAAAGCAUCUAAGUGGGAAGCCCACCUCAAGAUGAGUAUUCUCGUA
This 1245-nucleotide ribosomal RNA is filed under the name metagenome. Its description in RNAcentral is "bacterial LSU rRNA". It matches the Rfam family "Bacterial large subunit ribosomal RNA", at positions 1564 to 2818 of the family's 2925-position model. The record is from RNAcentral.